UUGCAGCCAAUUAAGCCGACUGUGCUCUUUUCCCCAUGGGGGCCCAGUGUGCAAUGGCUGCAAACAACAGCCUCCUUGGUAGUGUAUGCAGCCUGUUGCCUGUACAGGUAGCCCUAAGGGAACCUGGAGACAACU
Molecule: small nucleolar RNA, 135 nt
Filed under: Cervus hanglu yarkandensis (Yarkand deer)
Lineage: Eukaryota; Metazoa; Chordata; Mammalia; Artiodactyla; Cervidae
Description: Small nucleolar RNA SNORA70 (ENSCHYG00000027051.1)
Rfam family: Small nucleolar RNA SNORA70
About the family: snoRNA U70 seems to be exclusive to mammals and is a member of the H/ACA class of snoRNA which contain H (ANANNA) and ACA box motifs. H/ACA box snoRNAs are involved in the conversion of uridines to pseudouridines (5-ribosyluracil) a constituent of structural RNAs (transfer, ribosomal, small nuclear, and small nucleolar).
Source: Rfam by way of RNAcentral